UACAGAGGUCUCAAGCGUUGUUCGGAUUCAUUGGGCGUAAAGGGUGCGUAGGCGGCGCGGUAAGUCGGGUGUGAAAUCUCGGGGCUUAACUCCGAAACUGCAUUCGAUACUGCCGUGCUUGAGGACUGGAGAGGAGACUGGAAUUUACGGUGUAGCGGUGAAAUGCGUAGAUAUCGUAAGGAAGACCAGUGGCGAAGGCGGGUCUCUGGACAGUUCCUGACGCUGAGGCACGAAGGCCAGAGGAGCAAACGGG
Molecule: ribosomal RNA, 253 nt
Filed under: uncultured bacterium
Lineage: Bacteria
Description: partial 16S ribosomal RNA
Rfam family: Bacterial small subunit ribosomal RNA
Source: RNAcentral